GGCGGCGUGCUUAACACAUGCAAGUCGAACGAAAAGAGGGAAAGAGCUUGCUCUUUCCGGAAUUGAGUGGCAAACGGGUGAGUAACACGUAAACAACCUGCCUUCAGGAUGGGGACAACAGACGGAAACGACUGCUAAUACCGAAUAAGUUCCAAGAGCCGCAUGGCCCAUGGAAGAAAAGGUGGCCUCUACCUGUAAGCUAUCGCCUGGAGAGGGGUUUGCGUCUGAUUAGCUGGUUGGAGGGGUAACGGCCCACCAAGGCGACGAUCAGUAGCCGGUCUGAGAGGAUGAACGGCCACACUGGAACUGAGACACGGUCCAGACUCCUACGGGAGGCAGCAGUGGGGAAUCUUCCGCAAUGGGCGAAAGCCUGACGGAGCAACGCCGCGUGAGUGAUGACGGCCUUCGGGUUGUAAAACUCUGUGAUCCGGGACGAAAAGGCAGAGUGCGAAGAACAAACUGCAUUGACGGUACCGGAAAAGCAAGCCACGGCUAACUACGUGCCAGCAGCCGCGGUAAUACGUAGGUGGCAAGCGUUGUCCGGAAUUAUUGGGCGUAAAGCGCGCGCAGGCGGCUUCCCAAGUCCCUCUUAAAAGUGCGGGGCUUAACCCCGUGAUGGGAAGGAAACUGGGAAGCUGGAGUAUCGGAGAGGAAAGUGGAAUUCCUAGUGUAGCGGUGAAAUGCGUAGAGAUUAGGAAGAACA
RNAcentral lists this ribosomal RNA (703 nucleotides) under uncultured Peptococcaceae bacterium. Its description in RNAcentral is "bacterial SSU rRNA". It matches the Rfam family "Bacterial small subunit ribosomal RNA", at positions 38 to 708 of the family's 1533-position model. The record is from RNAcentral. Lineage: Bacteria; Bacillati; Bacillota; Clostridia; Eubacteriales; Peptococcaceae.